Molecule: ribosomal RNA, 468 nt
Filed under: uncultured bacterium
Lineage: Bacteria
Description: partial 16S ribosomal RNA
Rfam family: Bacterial small subunit ribosomal RNA
Source: RNAcentral
GACGAACGCUGGCGGCGUGCUUAACACAUGCAAGUCGAACGGAAAGGCCCUGCUUUUGUGGGGUGCUCGAGUGGCGAACGGGUGAGUAACACGUGAGUAACCUGCCCUUGACUUUGGGAUAACUUCAGGAAACUGGGGCUAAUACCGGAUAGGAGCUCCUGCUGCAUGGUGGGGGUUGGAAAGUUUCGGCGGUUGGGGAUGGACUCGCGGCUUAUCAGCUUGUUGGUGGGGUAGUGGCUUACCAAGGCUUUGACGGGUAGCCGGCCUGAGAGGGUGACCGGCCACAUUGGGACUGAGAUACGGCCCAGACUCCUACGGGAGGCAGCAGUGGGGAGUAUUGCACAAUGGGCGGACGCCUGAUGCAGCAACGCCGCAUGCGGGAUGACGGCCUUCGGGUUGUAAACCGCUUUCGCCUGUGACGAAGCGUGAGUGACGGUAAUGGGUAAAGAAGCACCGGCUAACUACGUG